RNAcentral lists this unclassified non-coding RNA (307 nucleotides) under plant metagenome. RNAcentral's name for it is "partial contains 5.8S ribosomal RNA, internal transcribed spacer 2, and large subunit ribosomal RNA". The stretch from base 1 to 105 matches the Rfam family "5.8S ribosomal RNA", at positions 50 to 154 of the family's 154-position model. The record is from RNAcentral.
GAAAUGCGAUAAGUAGUGUGAAUUGCAGAAUUCAGUGAAUCAUCGAAUCUUUGAACGCACAUUGCGCCCCUCGGUAUUCCGUGGGGCAUGCCUGUUCGAGCGUCAUCUACACCCUCAAGCUCUGCUUGGUGUUGGGCGUCUGUCCCGCCUCCGCGCGCGGACUCGCCCCAAAUGCAUUGGCAGCGGUUCCUUGCCCCCCUCUUUGCGCAGCACAUUGCCAUUCGAGGCGGCGGCGGCCCGCGUCCAACAAGCUCAACCCCCCCGUCUUUGACCUCGGAUCAGGUAGGGAUACCCGUAGAACUUAAGC